This 468-nucleotide ribosomal RNA is filed under the name uncultured bacterium. Its description in RNAcentral is "partial 16S ribosomal RNA". It matches the Rfam family "Bacterial small subunit ribosomal RNA", at positions 28 to 507 of the family's 1533-position model. The record is from RNAcentral.
GACGAACGCUGGCGGCGUGCUUAACACAUGCAAGUCGAACGGAAAGGCCCUGCUUUUGUGGGGUGCUCGAGUGGCGAACGGGUGAGUAACACGCGAGUAACCUGCCCUUGACUUUGGGAUAACUUCAGGAAACUGGGGCUAAUACCGGAUAGGAGCUCCUGCUGCACGGUGGGGGAUGGAAAGUUUCGGCGGUUGGGGAUGGACUCGCGGCUUAUCAGCUUGUUGGUGGGGUAGUGGCUUACAAAGGCUUCGACGGGUAGCCGGCCUGAGAGGGUGACCGGCGACAUGGGGACUGAGGUACGGCCCAGACUCCUACGGGAGGCAGCGGUGGGGAAUAUUGCACAAUGGGCGGAAGCCUGAUGCAGCAGCGCCGCGUGCGUGAUGACGGCCUUCGGGUUGUAAACCGCUUUCGCCUGUGACGAAGCGUGAGUGACGGUAAUGGGUAAAGAAGCACCGGCUAACUACGUG